RNAcentral lists this ribosomal RNA (313 nucleotides) under uncultured Pseudomonadota bacterium. Its description in RNAcentral is "uncultured proteobacterium partial 16S ribosomal RNA". It matches the Rfam family "Bacterial small subunit ribosomal RNA", at positions 29 to 351 of the family's 1533-position model. The record is from RNAcentral. Lineage: Bacteria; Pseudomonadati; Pseudomonadota.
AACGAACGCUGGCGGCAUGCUUAACACAUGCAAGUCGAACGCGCCCUUGGGCUUCGGUCUGGGGGUGAGUGGCGCACGGGUGAGUAGCGCGUGGGAACCUGCCCUGUUGUGGGGGAUAACCGAGGGAAACUUCGGCUAAUACCGCAUACGCCGGUGGUGACACCGGGAAAGAUUUAUCGCAGCAGGAGGGGCCCGCGUCGGAUUAGCUUGUUGGUGGGGUAAUGGCUCACCAAGGCGACGAUCAGUAGCUGGUCUGAGAGGAUGAUCAGCCACAUUGGGACUGAGACACGGCCCAAACACCUACGGGUGGCAG